ACCAGCAUGUCUCAGUCGGUAUAGUGUGAGACUCUUAAUCUCAGGGUCGUGGGUUCAAGCCCCACAUUGGGCG
This 73-nucleotide transfer RNA is filed under the name Homo sapiens (human). RNAcentral describes it as "tRNA-Lys-CTT-12-1". The stretch from base 8 to 65 matches the Rfam family "tRNA", at positions 8 to 63 of the family's 71-position model. Rfam says of the family: Transfer RNA (tRNA) molecules are approximately 80 nucleotides in length. Lineage: Eukaryota; Metazoa; Chordata; Mammalia; Primates; Hominidae. The record is from RNAcentral.